AACACGUUACAUGAAGCAAGUCCCAAAGUGAGACCAAAGGACGGGAACACAUCCACUUCCUAACACAGCAAGGAAGGAAAAAAGGAAGGAAGGAAGGAAGGAAGCUUAUCCAGCCAAUAGUCAGCACAGAUUGAGCCCUCGUUCCUUACAACAUGGUGAUCAGUCGACUGCCAGGCAAUCUGCUCUGUGAUGUUGUUCACACCUCCGUCCAGCCAACAAGAAAAAAAAGAAGAAGAAGAAUCUCUGACAGGAUAUGAUGACGGGCCCAGGUGCUGUGUUUCACUGGUGUCCUGGUCUUAAGGCUAUGACUGAUCCCACUGAGAACCUACUGAGAACCCACUGAGAACCCACU
This is a long non-coding RNA of Solea senegalensis (Senegalese sole), 352 nucleotides long. RefSeq lists it as uncharacterized. Lineage: Eukaryota; Metazoa; Chordata; Actinopteri; Pleuronectiformes; Soleidae. The transcript has 3 exons. The record is from RefSeq and is a predicted model, not a curated record.